RNAcentral lists this ribosomal RNA (558 nucleotides) under uncultured bacterium. Its description in RNAcentral is "partial 16S ribosomal RNA". It matches the Rfam family "Bacterial small subunit ribosomal RNA", at positions 355 to 902 of the family's 1533-position model. The record is from RNAcentral.
UGGGGAAUUUUGGACAAUGGGCGAAAGCCUGAUCCAGCAAUGCCGCGUGAGUGAAGAAGGCCUUCGGGUUGUAAAGCUCUUUUGUCAGGGAAGAAACGGUGGGAGCUAAUAUCUCUUGCUAAUGACGGUACCUGAAGAAUAAGCACCGGCUAACUACGUGCCAGCAGCCGCGGUAAUCCGUAGGGUGCAAGCGUUAAUCGGAAUUACUGGGCGUAAAGCGUGCGCAGGCGGUUUUGUAAGUCUGAUGUGAAAUCCCCGGGCUCAACCUGGGAAUUGCAUUGGAGACUGCAAGGCUAGAAUCUGGCAGAGGGGGGUAGAAUUCCACGUGUAGCAGUGAAAUGCGUAGAUAUGUGGAGGAACACCGAUGGCGAAGGCAGCCCCCUGGGUCAAGAUUGACGCUCAUGCACGAAAGCGUGGGGAGCAAAACAGGAUUAGACACCCUGGUAGUCCACGCCCUAAACGAUGUCUACUAGUUGUCGGGUCUUAAUUGACUUGGUAACGCAGCUAACGCGUGAAAGUAGACCGCCUGGGGGAGUACGGUCGCAAGAUUAAAAACUC